GUGCUCGCUUCGGCAGCACAUAUACUAAAAUUGGAACGGUACAGAGAUUAGCAUGGCCCUUGUGCAAGGAUGACGUACAAAUCGUGAAACGUUCCAUAUUUUU
Hippopotamus amphibius kiboko is the source of this 103-nucleotide small nuclear RNA. Lineage: Eukaryota; Metazoa; Chordata; Mammalia; Artiodactyla; Hippopotamidae. The record is from RefSeq and is a predicted model, not a curated record.